RNAcentral lists this long non-coding RNA (2047 nucleotides) under Homo sapiens (human). Its description in RNAcentral is "HSALNT0379993". The record is from RNAcentral. Lineage: Eukaryota; Metazoa; Chordata; Mammalia; Primates; Hominidae.
UAUUCUGGUUGCCUUACCCAGCUCUGAAGUCUGUCAGCCUCUUCAGAUGUCACUUGCCAUGUGGUAAGGAAGUGUAGUCAGCAGCUGGUGCAGUGGGAAGAAGAGAAAGGAAGUUCCCCAAGACAAAAACAUCUCGGCAGACCGUGAUCAUGGGCUACAUUCUCCGUACCAGCUUCAUAGCUCCAGUGAGAAAAUAAAUUCCUGCAUCCAGGAGAUGUGGAGUAAGAGAUACAGCUGCCCUUGACCAUAUUUCUUACUUCCGAGAAGAUCGUAGCAGUAAUUCAGUACAGUCUUCAGGGAACACCAAGGCCUGUUUGAUUUUCCAAGUAUCAACAAGUGGAGUUGACAAGAGUGACAAGUGGUCAGAGCAAAGCAUUUCAUGAUGACUGUAACGUGCCUGUGUCAGCAGCGACUGCUUACAGUGAGAUUCACAUGACCAUCGUUUAUGACAUAGGAAGAAUAAAAGGAGAGAGAGAGAGAAAGAUAGGUAGUUGAUCAAAAUGAAGAAUUGGAUUUGGAAAGCAACUUCGAAUAGUCUCUGCUUAUAUUUCUGAGAUUAAGGCAAACAGUCUCAAGAAUCUCAUCCAGGAUACCUCAUCACAGGCUGGAGUGCAGUGUCAUGAGCUUGGCUCACUACAGCCUCCAUCUUCUGUGCUUAAGGAUCCUUCCCUCUCAACCUCCAAGGUAGCUGAGACUACAGGCAACAUUCGAAACCCAGGUGCCACUCCUUCAGGAAGGUACCAUCAAGCUCCAAGGACUCAUCCUCUUUCUCCUUCCCCACUACCUAGUCAUUAGAGCGUCAGCAUCCACUUCCUGAAAGGAAGAUGCCUGUUUUUCACAUAUCCCAGAAAGCCUCAUUUUAGGACAGCAUUUAGCAGAGUGUAUUCAGGAUCCCACUAACCUUUUCGGAAGACAUGACUUCCAGAUGAUAUAAGGCAAGAAUAAGAAAUUUCAGUGACAGGGAACAGAAAUCAUAUUUCUGCAUUCAGGAUCAUGUUUUCUUGGCUCCAUCAGGAACUGUGCAGGACUGUGCACUCUGUUGAUACUCACAUGGUGGAAUUAUAUUGCCCUUGGCCAACCCUAAAGCCAUCAAGAUAGCAGCAACUACUCUAUCAUUACUGUACCACCACCUGUAUGGAUCUCGUUGCCCAUAUGAAACUGAGUAAGGAACAAUGUGCAUCACACUCACAGAGAAAGAUGGACAAGUUUGGAAUAAUUCACUGUCGAAGUCUUCUUGAGCUGAGCAGUCAUGUGAGCUUGGAAGAUGAUCCCUCUCCAGCUGAUCCUUCAGCUCAGGCCAUCAUCUACAUCUGGAUUCCUGACCCGGAGAAACUAUGAGUAAUGUGUGCUGCUUUUGAGCCACUAAGCUACAUGAAUUAAUGAAGGAUCAUUAUUAAGUUUUUAAUGGGUCAAGAGAAAGUUACCACUGAGGUCUUCUCUACCUGGGCAACAAUUGACUCCUAACAACCACUAUAAGCUUGGAAGAUGAUCCCUCCCCAGCUGAUCCUUCAGUUCACAUGAAGCAUUUGGAAGUAAACACACGAUGGACUGAACACUUUGCUGCUUAGAAACUUCUUCUUCCAGAUUCCCUAGUUCAUCAUUAAGUAGUUAGGCCUCUCACAAAGCCCUUGGUCACGGAUACAGGUCCUUGGAAAAAACUCAACCAAUUGUCAACCAGAAAAUGCUUAAAUUUAUCUAUAGCCUGUAACCCCACCCCCCACUCCCUACCCUGCUUCAAGCUGUCCUGCCUUUCUGGAACAAACCAAUGUAUUCCUUAAACAUAUUUGAUUGCUGUCUCAUGCUUCCCUAAAAUGUAUAAAACCAAGCUGUACCCCAACCACCUUGGGCACAUGUUCUCAGGACUUCCUGAGGGCUGUGUCAUGGGCCAUGGUCACUCAUAUUUUGCUCAGAAUAAAUCUCUCUAAAUAUUUUACAGAGUUUGACUUUUUUGGUCAACAGCAGUCUUGUCACAACCACUUGACCAAUUUAUAAGGACUCCCAAACUUUUCCUAGUCUUCUUGUAUCUAACCCUUACAACAAUGUAGGC